AAUAGGGCCAUUUAUACGGAACAAAAUAAGACGCGACUUACAUAAGACGCGACUUAGGUAAGACGCGAGUUUGUCGUAUAAAAGGUACAAAAUUCUUAUGUAAGACGCGUCUUGGAUAAGACGCAUCUUACAUAAGAACAGGUCUUUUAGCUGUUCUUAUUUAAGUCGCGUCUUAAAUAAGAAAUUUUGGACAAAAAGUCUAACUACACAUGCCAGAAACUUGAAAUGUAAAAUUUAAUGCCUUGUAUAUUAAAACAAAAACAACCAAAACAACAUUAUAGCUGUAGCAAAUAAAUAAGACCAAAGCCGUAGAGAACCAUUUAUGCGAUAACUCCACUUAUUUAAGUUGCGUCUUAUGUAAGUCGCGACUUAUUUUG
RNAcentral lists this long non-coding RNA (377 nucleotides) under Paramuricea clavata. Lineage: Eukaryota; Metazoa; Cnidaria; Anthozoa; Malacalcyonacea; Plexauridae. The record is from RNAcentral.